GACGAACGCUGGCGGCGUGCUUAACACAUGCAAGUCGAACGGAAAGGCCCUGCUUUUGUGGGGUGCUCGAGUGGCGAACGGGUGAGUAACACGUGAGUAACCUGCCCUUGACUUUGGGAUAACUUCAGGAAACUGGGGCUAAUACCGGAUAGGAGCUCCUGCUGCAUGGUGGGGGUUGGAAAGUUUCGGCGGUUGGGGAUGGACUCGCGGCUUAUCAGCUUGUUGGUGGGGUAGUGGCUUACCAAGGCUUUGACGGGUAGCCGGCCUGAGAGGGUGACCGGCAAGAUGGGGAGUGAGAGCCGCCCCGAACCCCGCGGGGGGCGGCAGGGGGGAAAUUUGGAACAGUGGGGGAAGCCUUGAGCCGGCACCCCCGGGGGGGGGAGGCCGCCCUUGGGUUUGAAACCCCUUUUCCCCGGGGAGGAAGGGGGAGUGAGGUAAAGGGAUAAAGAACCCCGGCCAAACUCGGGC
This 468-nucleotide ribosomal RNA is filed under the name uncultured bacterium. Its description in RNAcentral is "partial 16S ribosomal RNA". It matches the Rfam family "Bacterial small subunit ribosomal RNA", at positions 28 to 508 of the family's 1533-position model. The record is from RNAcentral.